AAAGUGCGAUAACUCAGGUGAAUUGCAACUGGCGCGAAUCCUUGAACUUUUGAACGCAUACUGUGCCCCGGUGUAACAGCCGGGGCGUGUCUGCUUGAGCGUCAUAUACAAAACAUCACUGUCUCUCUCUAUCUUCGGAUGGGGUCUGUGCAUGUGGACAUGGGUUUUGCAGUUAGUUCUGCAUCACCUUAAAUACAUUUGGUGGGGUUCGCUGGUGAACACACUGUGUGUCUGUCGUUGUUAAGGGGAAUUUUUCUUCAUGAUACGAUGGGUCCAGUGCAAGUAGUUGGCAUUUACGGGUCCUGUUAAGCCAAAAAUCUGUUGCCUCAAUUUCUCGACCUCAAGUCAGGCACGAUUACCCGCUGAAUUUAA
Molecule: unclassified non-coding RNA, 372 nt
Filed under: uncultured fungus
Lineage: Eukaryota; Fungi
Description: sequence contains ITS1
Rfam family: 5.8S ribosomal RNA (bases 1-104)
Source: RNAcentral